GCGGGGUUGGCAGAGUGGUCUAUAGCGGCAGCCUGCUAAGCUGUUCUGGGAAACCAGGCGAGGGUUCGAAUCCCUCACCCCGCG
This 84-nucleotide transfer RNA is filed under the name Candidatus Iainarchaeum sp. Its description in RNAcentral is "tRNA-Ser". It matches the Rfam family "tRNA". Rfam says of the family: Transfer RNA (tRNA) molecules are approximately 80 nucleotides in length. Their secondary structure includes four short double-helical elements and three loops (D, anti-codon, and T loops). Further hydrogen bonds mediate the characteristic L-shaped molecular structure. tRNAs have two regions of fundamental functional importance: the anti-codon, which is responsible for specific mRNA codon recognition, and the 3' end, to which the tRNAs corresponding amino acid is attached (by aminoacyl-tRNA synthetases). tRNAs cope with the degeneracy of the genetic code in two manners: having more than one tRNA (with a specific anti-codon) for a particular amino acid; and 'wobble' base-pairing, i.e. permitting non-standard base-pairing at the 3rd anti-codon position. Lineage: Archaea; Nanobdellati; Candidatus Iainarchaeota; Candidatus Iainarchaeia; Candidatus Iainarchaeales; Candidatus Iainarchaeaceae. The record is from RNAcentral.